Long non-coding RNA from Silurus meridionalis, 246 nucleotides. RefSeq lists it as uncharacterized. The record is from RefSeq and is a predicted model, not a curated record. Lineage: Eukaryota; Metazoa; Chordata; Actinopteri; Siluriformes; Siluridae. The transcript is spliced from 4 exons.
GUUGAUGCCACAUUUCUCUCUAUUAUUGAUUAUGGUGAUCUGUUUUAUAUAAAUGCCCCAUCAAAGUGUCUUCAGAUGUUGGAUGCUGUGUUUCAUGGAGCUUUAAGGUUCAUAUUAAGGUCACUGAUACCUGCGACUGAGACAUUUGAGAUUGCAGCUCCUUGGUGAUUCCAGCAGACCUCUUCAGACUCUUGGAUAAAGACCCCAGCAGAUACUCAUACAGAGAAAUUCAUCGUUUCUGUUGUA